RNAcentral lists this ribosomal RNA (253 nucleotides) under uncultured bacterium. RNAcentral describes it as "partial 16S ribosomal RNA". It matches the Rfam family "Bacterial small subunit ribosomal RNA", at positions 524 to 776 of the family's 1533-position model. The record is from RNAcentral.
GACAGAGGGGGCAAGCGUUGCUCGGAAUCACUGGGCGUAAAGGGCGCGUAGGCGGGAUGGCAAGUCAGUCGUGAAAUCUCCCGGCUCAACCGAGAAACGUCGGCUGAUACUGCCGUUCUUGAGGGAUGCAGAGGAGACUGGAAUUCCCGGUGUAGCGGUGAAAUGUGUAGAGAUCGGGAGGAACACCGGUGGCGAAGGCGGGUCUCUGGGCAUUUCCUGACGCCGAGGCGCGAAAGCGUGGGGAGCAAACGGG